This 305-nucleotide ribosomal RNA is filed under the name uncultured bacterium. RNAcentral's name for it is "bacterial SSU rRNA". It matches the Rfam family "Bacterial small subunit ribosomal RNA", at positions 336 to 638 of the family's 1533-position model. The record is from RNAcentral.
CCCCUACGGGACGCAGCAGUGAGGAAUAUUGGUCAAUGGGCGCGAGCCUGAACCAGCCAAGUCGCGUGAGGGAAGACGGUCCUAUGGAUUGUAAACCUCUUUUGUCGGGGAGCAAAAGACGCCACGCGUGGCGUUCCGAGAGUACCCGAAGAAAAAGCAUCGGCUAACUCCGUGCCAGCAGCCGCGGUAAUACGGAGGAUGCGAGCGUUAUCCGGAUUUAUUGGGUGUAAAGGGCGUGUAGGCGGGGAUGCAAGUCAGAUGUGAAAACUAUGGGCUCAACCCCUAGCCUGCAUUUGAAACUGUAU